CCAGACUCCUACGGGAGGCAGCAGUGGGGACUCUUUCACAAUGGGUUCCCCCCUGAUGCCGCGACGCCGCGUGCGUUCAGAAGUAUUUAGGUAUGUAAAGCUCUAUCAGCAGGGAAGAAAAUGACGGUACCUGAUUAAGGAGCCCCGGCUAACUACGUGCCAGCAGCCGCGGUAAUACGUAGGGGGCAAGCGUUAUCCGGAUUUACUGGGUGUAAAGGGAGCGUAGACGGCAGCGCAAGUCUGAAGUGAAAUGCCGGGGCUUAACCCCGGAACUGCUUUGGAAACUGUGCAGCUAGAGUGCAGGAGAGGUAAGUGGAAUUCCUAGUGUAGCGGUGAAAUGCGUAGAUAUUAGGAGGAACACCAGUGGCGAAGGCGGCUUACUGGACUGUAACUGACGUUGAGGCUCGAAAGCGUGGGGAGCAAACAGGAUUAGAUACCCCGGUAAC
Molecule: ribosomal RNA, 446 nt
Filed under: uncultured bacterium
Lineage: Bacteria
Description: bacterial SSU rRNA
Rfam family: Bacterial small subunit ribosomal RNA
Source: RNAcentral